AUGAACGCUGGCGGCGUGCCUAAUCCAUGCAAGUCGAGCGAACAGAUGAGGAGCUUGCUCCUCUGACGUUAGCGGCGGACGGGUGAAUAACACGUGGAUAACCUACCUAUAAGACUGGGAUAACUUCGGGAAACCGGAGCUAAUACCGGAUAAUAUAUUGAACCGCAUGGUUCAAUAGUGAAAGACGGUUUUGCUGUCACUUAUAGAUGGAUCCGCGCCGCAUUAGCUAGUUGGUAAGGUAACGGCUUACCAAGGCAACGAUGCGUAGCCGACCUGAGAGGGUGAUCGGCCACACUGGAACUGAGACACGGUCCAGACUCCUACGGGAGGCAGCAGUAGGGAAUCUUCCGCAAUGGGCGAAAGCCUGACGGAGCAACGCCGCGUGAGUGAUGAAGGUCUUCGGAUCGUAAAACUCUGUUAUUAGGGAAGAACAAAUGUGUAAGUAACUAUGCACGUCUUGACGGUACCUAAUCAGAAAGCCACGGCUAACUACGUG
This 496-nucleotide ribosomal RNA is filed under the name uncultured bacterium. RNAcentral's name for it is "partial 16S ribosomal RNA". It matches the Rfam family "Bacterial small subunit ribosomal RNA", at positions 29 to 507 of the family's 1533-position model. The record is from RNAcentral.